GUGAUGCUGGUUGUUGACAGAAGAUAGAGAGCACUAAGGAUGACAUGCAAGUACAUAUGUAUGUAUCAUCACACCGCCUGUGGAUGAUUACAAAAAUAGCCUGCAUGUCUACUCUUUCGUGCUCUCUAUACUUCUGUCACCACCAUUAU
This 149-nucleotide microRNA precursor is filed under the name Brassica rapa (field mustard). RNAcentral describes it as "miR157a stem-loop (bra-MIR157a)". Its record names the gene bra-MIR157a. Lineage: Eukaryota; Viridiplantae; Streptophyta; Magnoliopsida; Brassicales; Brassicaceae. The record is from miRBase by way of RNAcentral.